This is a transfer RNA of Puccinia graminis f. sp. tritici, 134 nucleotides long. It matches the Rfam family "tRNA". Rfam says of the family: Transfer RNA (tRNA) molecules are approximately 80 nucleotides in length. Their secondary structure includes four short double-helical elements and three loops (D, anti-codon, and T loops). The record is from Rfam. Lineage: Eukaryota; Fungi; Basidiomycota; Pucciniomycetes; Pucciniales; Pucciniaceae.
GACAGGAUGGCCGAGUGGUUAAGGCGACAGUUUUGAACUCGUCAUUGCGUCCCGGAGUCCCCUCCGGCCGUGAUGACCUACAACAUUCCAGCUGUUUCACUUUGUGAGCGUGAGUUCAAACCUCACUCCUGUCG